RNAcentral lists this ribosomal RNA (468 nucleotides) under uncultured bacterium. RNAcentral's name for it is "partial 16S ribosomal RNA". It matches the Rfam family "Bacterial small subunit ribosomal RNA", at positions 28 to 507 of the family's 1533-position model. The record is from RNAcentral.
GACGAACGCUGGCGGCGUGCUUAACACAUGCAAGUCGAACGGAAAGGCCCUGCUUUUGUGGGGUGCUCGAGUGGCGAACGGGUGAGUAACAAGUGAGUAACCUGCCCUUGACUUUGGGAUAACUUCAGGAAACUGGGGCUAAUACCGGAUAGGAGCUCCUGCUGCAUGGUGGGGGUUGGAAAGUUUGGGCGGUUGGGGAUGGACUCGCGGCUUAUCAGCUUGUUGGUGGGGGAGUGGCUUACCAAGGCUUUGACGGGUAGCCGGCCUGAGAGGGUGACCGGCCACAUUGGGACUGAGAUACGGCCCAGACUCCUACGGGAGGCAGCAGUGGGGAAUAUUGCACAAUGGGCGGAAGCCUGAUGCAGCAACGCCGCGUGCGGGAUGACGGCCUUCGGGUUGUAAACCGCUUUCGCCUGUGACGAAGCGUGAGUGACGGUAAUGGGUAAAGAAGCACCGGCUAACUACGUG